Long non-coding RNA from Rhipicephalus sanguineus (brown dog tick), 557 nucleotides. RefSeq lists it as uncharacterized. The transcript is spliced from 3 exons. Lineage: Eukaryota; Metazoa; Arthropoda; Arachnida; Ixodida; Ixodidae. The record is from RefSeq and is a predicted model, not a curated record.
ACGAACUCUCCCCACCUCGAACGAAUUGAAGUAAUACGGAUAAUUAUUCUCAUUCUUCGAGAACUACGCUAGAGUACACGGAAAGGUUAGAACGCGAAGCAAUGCGGUAAAGCGAAACUAUCGGUCUCUAGCUUGGCCGGAUCAACUCGUCAAACUCACAUGGCCAAUAUGGCCUCUUCGAUAGAGCGAAGAUGAUAGAGCUUUGCGGUUGAAUUCGAGAUCUACCUGUCCUAGAGCUUUGCAAAAGCUGCGCUUACCUUCACUUCUUCGUCAGCGGCUUCAGGAAUAAAUCACAAUGGCCAAGGUCAAAGCCAAUAUUGCCCUGUGUACCUCGCAGGUUCAUCCUGGUGCUUAUGGAGAGUAUCGUCUCGAAGCACAAAUUUGUCCAGAUGAGGGCCCGCUUGGACGACAAACUAGAGCUCUGGAAGUUUGACCCUUACAUCCAGAAGUACAGCAUAUACAAGGAAGUCAAGAAAGUCAGGAGUAUAAAGUGAUCGGAGGUCGUCUGGAUAUUUCACUUCAAUUGUACAGUGCCCAAUAAAUAGUUUCAUGUUAUA